GUUAAGCGACUAAGCGUACACGGUGGAUGCCCUGGCAGUCAGAGGCGAUGAAGGACGUGCUAAUCUGCGAUAAGCGUCGGUAAGGUGAUAUGAACCGUUAUAACCGGCGAUUUCCGAAUGGGGAAACCCAGUGUGAUUCGUCACACUAUCAUUAACUGAAUCCAUAGGUUAAUGAGGCGAACCGGGGGAACUGAAACAUCUAAGUACCCCGAGGAAAAGAAAUCAACCGAGAUUCCCCCAGUAGCGGCGAGCGAACGGGGAGCAGCCCAGAGCCUGAAUCAGUGUGUGUGUUAGUGGAAGCGUCUGGAAAGGCGCGCGAUACAGGGUGACAGCCCCGUACACAAAAAUGCACAUGCUGUGAGCUCGAUGAGUAGGGCGGGACACGUGGUAUCCUGUCUGAAUAUGGGGGGACCAUCCUCCAAGGCUAAAUACUCCUGACUGACCGAUAGUGAACCAGUACCGUGAGGGAAAGGCGAAAAGAACCCCGGCGAGGGGAGUGAAAAAGAACCUGAAACCGUGUACGUACAAGCAGUGGGAGCCUCUUUAUGGGGUGACUGCGUACCUUUUGUAUAAUGGGUCAGCGACUUAUAUUCUGUAGCAAGGUUAACCGAAUAGGGGAGCCGAAGGGAAACCGAGUCUUAACUGGGCGUUAAGUUGCAGGGUAUAGACCCGAAACCCGGUGAUCUAGCCAUGGGCAGGUUGAAGGUUGGGUAACACUAACUGGAGGACCGAACCGACUAAUGUUGAAAAAUUAGCGGAUGACUUGUGGCUGGGGGUGAAAGGCCAAUCAAACCGGGAGAUAGCUGGUUCUCCCCGAAAGCUAUUUAGGUAGCGCCUCGUGAAUUCAUCUCCGGGGGUAGAGCACUGUUUCGGCAAGGGGGUCAUCCCGACUUACCAACCCGAUGCAAACUGCGAAUACCGGAGAAUGUUAUCACGGGAGACACACGGCGGGUGCUAACGUCCGUCGUGAAGAGGGAAACAACCCAGACCGCCAGCUAAGGUCCCAAAGUCAUGGUUAAGUGGGAAACGAUGUGGGAAGGCCCAGACAGCCAGGAUGUUGGCUUAGAAGCAGCCAUCAUUUAAAGAAAGCGUAAUAGCUCACUGGUCGAGUCGGCCUGCGCGGAAGAUGUAACGGGGCUAAACCAU
Molecule: ribosomal RNA, 1146 nt
Filed under: Escherichia coli
Lineage: Bacteria; Pseudomonadati; Pseudomonadota; Gammaproteobacteria; Enterobacterales; Enterobacteriaceae
Description: partial 23S ribosomal RNA
Rfam family: Bacterial large subunit ribosomal RNA
Source: RNAcentral